GAUGAACGCUGGCGGCGUGCCUAAUACAUGCAAGUCGAGCGAACGGACGAGAAGCUUGCUUCUCUGAUGUUAGCGGCGGACGGGUGAGUAACACGUGGAUAACCUACCUAUAAGACUGGGAUCACUUCGGGAAACCGGAGCUAAUACCGGAUAAUAUUUUGAACCGCAUGGUUCAAAAGUGAAAGACGGUCUUGCUGUCACCUAUAGAUGGAUCCGCGCUGCAUUGGCUAGUUGGUAAGGUAACGGCUUACCAAGGCAACGAUGCAUAGCCGACCGGAGAGGGUGAUCGGCCACACUGGAGCUGGGACACGGUCCAGACUCCUACGGGAGGCAGCAGUAGGGAAUCUGCCGCAAUGGGCGAAAGCCUGACGGAGCAACGCCGCGUGAGUGGUGAAGGUCUUCGGAGCGUAAAACUCUGUUAUUAGGGAAGAACAUAUGUGUAAGUAACUGUGCACAUCUUGACGGUACCUAAUCAGAAAGCCACGGCUAACUACGUG
This 497-nucleotide ribosomal RNA is filed under the name uncultured bacterium. RNAcentral describes it as "partial 16S ribosomal RNA". It matches the Rfam family "Bacterial small subunit ribosomal RNA", at positions 28 to 507 of the family's 1533-position model. The record is from RNAcentral.